UCGGGUGUGGUGUACGGAACAUCGCGGGCCUUCCUGCGACGCCCUCAAUUUGGGAGCCCGCAGCCCGGGGUUCGACUCCCCGCGCCCGAA
Non-coding RNA from Mycena rosella, 90 nucleotides. NCBI's taxonomy places the organism in Eukaryota, Fungi, Basidiomycota, Agaricomycetes, Agaricales, Mycenaceae. The record is from the annotation of a GenBank genome assembly.